Molecule: long non-coding RNA, 539 nt
Filed under: Ananas comosus (pineapple)
Lineage: Eukaryota; Viridiplantae; Streptophyta; Magnoliopsida; Poales; Bromeliaceae
Description: long non-coding RNA (ACOM_LNC030160)
Source: RNAcentral
AUUUCAACGGUCGGGUUCAGAUCGAAUUUUUAAAAAUUCGAAUCCAAAUUCAUAAAUCAAAUUAAAAUCCGUACUCGUACUCAAACUCGGCGGAUUUUAAAAAUCCAUACCCAUUCUCGUAUCCGACCAAAAAUCUGAAAUCCGAAUCCGAACCCGGACUCGACGGGUUCUAAAAAUCCAUACCGUUGAACGAAGAUCUAAGAAAUAAAAAUUAUUAAAUAUUUUAUAUAUUAUAUAAAUAAAUAAAAAUAAAGUAUGUAUAUAUAUAAUUUAUUCGGGUCUGGGUUCGGGUCGGGUAAAUGCAAAAUCCAUACUCGUAUCCAUAUCCGUCGGGUUUUUAUUUUUUAUACUCAUAACCGAAUCCAUAUCCGUUUAGCUCGAAUAAAUCCGUCCCGUUCGGAUUUGGGUUCGGAUAAUAUUUCGGGUAUUCAUACCCAUUGACAUCCCUAUUCGUAUUAGCGCAAAUAAAAAAUAUUUUAUUAAUAAUUAAUAUUAAUAAAAAUAAAAAUAAAAAUAAAAAUACAACGAAACGAAAAGUC